AACGAUCCAUGAUUCAAUAUGUAACUAACUAAAUUACAUAAAUAUAGAGUAAAUGAAUGAUUGCAAAAGAAAACAAAUUGAAGUAGUGAUUGUGUUAGACAAAUGCAGAGACACCAACAAUCUAUAUUCUAUUCGGUAAAGUUUAUAGAGCAAACUCAACAGAGCUGCAAUCUAUUCUCUAUUACUCUAUUCUCUACAUGUUUAGUGGUGAUGAAUGAUCAACAAAUUCUACUCUUUGAUGAACAAUCAACAACUCAAGCAGACAAGCAGUCAAGGAAAUCGAUCAAGAAAGAAAAACAGUAGAAGAACUUUGAUGAAAAAAAAGAAAUUAACAUCUAAGAAGGAAAUAUGAGAUUAUCUUCGUAAAUAGUAUAUUACUGAUCCAACACCCGAUUGCUUCCAAUGAAAUCUGAUCUUUUGAGAAAUCAAAUUGGGGAUUAGGGUUUUUUUUCCUUCACUUUUCUGGGGAGGAAAUUGGGUUUAGAGACUAGAGAGGAUAUGAAAUAUGGGAAGAGAAGAAAGAUACGAGCAAGAAAAGAGGUGAAAUCAUCCAAAAAAAAGAAAAAAAAACACCAAUAAAAAGGAGGUUGGAGGCUAGGCCUCGAACUUAAGUUGUGAGGAUAACGCAGAAAGUCUCUAGCCAACUCUGCUAUAACCACUUAUGUGAAUAUAUUUACCUUUAUGAUAUAUACGUAUACAUACAUAUAUAUAUUUUUGGAGGGCCCCGAAAUUCGGAGGCCCUGUGCGACUGCACACGUCGCACAGCCCAAAGGCCGCCCCUGCAUCCGGGUGGCUGCCGUCUUCCUCCAGCCAUUUGUAAGCCGGGAGUCUCAUGCAUGGCUGUAAAUUCCUCACAGAUAGACAUUUGAAUUUUGAGGUUUAGGAUUUUCCAGUAGAUUCAUUCGUUUUGAACGAAACCUUAGUCUUGGUUUUUCAUUUUUUCUUAUAUACAUUUUCUGAUACCGGCUAUUGUUCGGAACCCUAGUUUGGCCGGUAAUGGAUCGAAAUGGGUAUGCAUGGGUAUCUAAUUAAGGACAUCUUCACUAAUAACACUAUUAUCUGUAUUUUAAUGGGAAAAUGCCCAUUUAGUAUUAAUUUAAGCCCCUUAUUUUCCAUUCCAAUGAUAAUCUUUUUCAUUAGCCCAUUUCAAUAUAAGGAAACAUUUUUUAUUCCCAAAUACACAAAUCUUUAUGCCCAAAUGCACAAAUCUUUACUAAAGUCUUAACAAAUUAUAUUAUUUUAAGACUAUUUUACCCUCACCUCUUAAACAUGUAUAGAGAGAGAAAAUGAAAGAGAGAAUACUUGGCCGGAAUCUCACCAGACUCCGGUCACUGGCUGUCGGACUCCGGUCACCUAAAUUUUCCUGAUCGCCGGACUCCGGCCACCGGAAUUUCCCCGACCACCGGACUCUGGUCACCGGAAUUUCCCCUGUAACUAGUUACUGACCCCCAAUAACCAGUUACUGACACCCAGUAACCAGUUACUGACACCCAGUAACCAGUUACUGACCUCCAGUAACCAGUUACUGACCUCCAGUAACCAGUUACUGACCAGUUAAUGACCCCAAAUAACCAGUUAAUGACCCCUAGUAACCAGUUACUGACCCCCAAUAAUUGGGUUACUGACCCCUAAUAAUCAGUUACUGAUCCCCAAUAAUCGGUUACUGACCCCCAAUAAUCAAUUAUUGACCCCCAAUAAUUGGGUUACUGACCCCUAAUAAUCAGUUAAUGAUCCCCAAUAAUCCGGUACUGACCCAAAUAACUUGGUUACUGACUCCCAAUAAUCAGUUACUGACCCCCAAUAAUCGGAUUACUGACCCUAAUAAGUUGGUUACUGACCCCUAAUAAUCAGUUAUUGACCCCAAUAAUCGGGUUACUACCCUCAAUAACUUUGUUACUAAUCCCCAAUUAUCAGGUAAUUGACCCCCCAAUAAUCAUCUUAUCAAGUUAUCCACCCUUAAUAAUCAGUUAAGACACAUAAAAAACGAAGAAGAUAGAAGAAAAAUAAUGUAUUUUCCCGCAAAAAUGAAAAACCUCGUUGAAAAAAAAAACAAAAAAUAAAGGAAUUAAUCCAACAUGUUUUGGUACUGAAGCAGGCCACAAUAUGUUGUAAUUACACACAAACACUCAUAUAUGAGAGAGCCGCAUAUCUAGUACCCUAGAAAGAGAGAGAAAACUAGAUCUGGAUGCUAAAAAAAUAAAAGAAAAACUAAACAAACUAUAAUGCUGUGCAAUUCCAUGGAUUCACCUACUUGUGCAAUUCCUAGAACUAAUAUCAAUGAUUGGACGACGGCCUUGAGCAUGGACAUCGGGAAACGUCGGCGGGCUCUAGCAAGCCGAGGCUGGCGAGGCAGAGCUAGCUUGGACGACUGUUGAGACGAAGGCGUGGAGGGACGGAUGAGAGGUUUAACGACGGCGCCGACGACUUGCGGGAUCAGAAGGUCUAGAUUGGGAUCGGUGGGUUUGGGAGGAGAGAGAGAGAGAGAGAGAGAGAGAGAGAGAGAGAGAGAGAGAGAGAGAGAGAGAGAGAGAGAGAGAGAG
RNAcentral lists this long non-coding RNA (2540 nucleotides) under Fragaria vesca (wild strawberry). Its description in RNAcentral is "long non-coding RNA (FVES_LNC003763)". The record is from RNAcentral. Lineage: Eukaryota; Viridiplantae; Streptophyta; Magnoliopsida; Rosales; Rosaceae.